UUGUACCUUCCGAAUCGGCGGGGUGUAUAGAUAUAGUUUUAUAUUGGUUAUUUUACUUUUUAUAAUAAAUUAAUUUUGGUAUCGAAACUUUAUACGCUUUUAUAGCUAACUGUAUACGUUGGUAAGUACAAUUUCUAUUAAUAUUAUCAAAUACACUUUCAUUUAAAGGAAAAUAUAUGCGAAAUGUCGGGAAAAUACAUACAAUCUUCCGACUCCACGUAGGGGGGAACCCGCCUAACCAUCAGUACGAUAGGCGUCGACAGCGCUCCCAGUGUUAAUCUGUCUUCCCAAUACUAUAUGUAAAUGGUAAGUAUAGUAUUAUAGAAAUGUAUUACUUUUCUAUGGGUACCAAUGACGACGAUAGUACUGAUUAAGAUAUGGAUGUGUAAAUAAAAUAUAAAUAAAUAAUAAUAUGUUGACUGAACCAUGACAAAUUAAAUAGGUAUGUCAGCUAUAUUACCGGUUUAGAAACAAAUCGCGCACCCACCCUCCGCCUAGCCAUUACUGUGACGUAGGCAUUUCUCCAGUUCUCAUUGGUCCACCGCCGCCCCUGCCGCAAAUAGCCGCCGCCGCCGUUGAAGACUCCACCACUACUCUACCCCUCAGACAGUUGGAGAAAUGCUUACGUCACAGACAUGCGUAUCACGAGUUGCUGACAUACCUAUUUAGAUGCGGAUGCCUUAUAAUCUCAAUGUAUCUAAUAAAAAUGGAAAAAUGUUUGUUGGAUUACUUUAAGAACUUGAAAAGGACUCCUGUCGGUGUCCUAUUACCAUUGGCGAGGGAGUCCUUAGAGGGAUAUCAAUAGGACUCUAUUGGACUCCUGGUUAUAUGUUAUUUGUUAGAUUUUCUGUAGUCUAGACAGGGACAUUCAUGGGACUAAAGAGGACUCCUUGCAGUAUUCUUUUUAAUACCUGUUUUGGAGUCCUGAACGGGACACCAAUUAAUUUACUCUCCGGCCGGAAUCCUGGUGCUACUAGGGAAACUAUAGAAAAUGUAGUUUAUUUUAUUAGGUACCUAUACUUAACCUCCCCUUCCCAUUUCAUAAUUCUGGCAAAAAAGUCUGAAUAUUUUACAUACAUUUACUGUUGUAAACAGUGGUUUAUCCUAAUUAUGGUACCAACACAAUACAGUGUAGUGUAGUGAACCUUUUAGUUCUGCAGUGCAUUUGUAGUGUGUAUACCUCUGCGGUAAAGCCAAGACAAUUGACAAUAAAAUUUAACGCCAGUGUGUGGGGACCUUAAUAUUAUAUUAGAGAGCCUAGAUAAAGGCUCUCUAGACUAUAUUAUUAGCCUGCGGUUCCCAACCUUAUUUUUCUUCCAUACCCCUAAGCUAAAUAUUUUGCUAGAUUGUCCCCUCAUUAUAACUUUUAAACUUUUUUCACAUCACUAUUCUUCACAGUACACAUACUAAGAAUAAAGAUAUAAUAUACUAUAAAAAAUAACAGUAAUGUAUAUAUUUUGAAUUAAAAAAAUGAAUUAUUUUAGUAAUUUAAUGAACAAAAAUGUAGUUAUUUAGUGAAAUCCUUGUUUUUGUUUUAAGCUAGUUUUUUUUUUUUUUAAAUCGGGAUCCAAUGAUGCAAUGUAUAGUUUUAAAUAGGUAUAGAGUUGCAUUCAGCUAUUUCUGUAUUUAUUUUUGAUAAAGAUACACAAAGAAAAAGCUCUCUCGACCAGCAGACGUGUACUAGUAAACCAGGUACAUAAAAAGGGUAGCCGCUCAGGACCGCCCCCCUCCCAAAUACAUAUUCAAAUUAUUUUUACUAAGUAUCAAAACCAUGCUAUGCUUACCUAUAGUUUAAGCUCAUAAAUAAAAAAUAAAUCUAUUGUGAUACCUAACUAUUCGAUAAUAUAAUUUAUUAUAUCACUUAUAAUAUAGAUAUAUUAAUAUUAUAUUAAAUUAAAUUCCCGGUCGAGGGAUGAUGGCCUCUCUCUCCAGAUAGGUGACUGCCCGGAAAGAAAGUCAAGUUUUAUUUGUGUGAUAGUCAAUAGAUAUUUCUAAUUUUGAAUAACAAAGUGCAUAUUUCAAAAACAAACUAUUUUAAAUAGACCAAAUUCAACAUUUUCCCACCAUUAUCUAUUUUUUUUUUCGAGUAUUUCUUGAGAUCAUUUUGUGUAUCCUGGGUUGGGAACCACUGUUAUAAGCAAUACAUUAUAAUAGCCGGUAGGCAGAAGCCAUACAAUUAUGCUAAAAAAAAUUGGAGAAACCUACAAUAAACGGCUAGAAAGAAACUAAUAAAUAAAAAUAUUUUUGAUGCAACCAAAGUAGUAAAUACCUUUAGUUAGAUUAUUUUAAAAAAUAUUUUAAUUAUUUUUUAAGAAUUAUAUACUAAUCUGAAACUUGAAAUGUAAUUGUAAUUCACUUUUCAUAUUAGACAUAAAGAAAAAAGCAAUGAAUAAAAAUACAAUAUCUUGGUAAUUUAUUAACAUGGUAAAUUAAUUAAAACAUUCGAGUGAUGUAAUCAAUAUUUUGUAAACAUUUGUUGAAUAGGUAUUAACUCUUAAUAUUUGGGCUUAAUAUCAAAAGCUUCAAAUGCUCCUUCAGAAGGGUCAAUUAAACAUGGAAAAAUAUUCACUGGCGGAGGUGGGCUCAACCUGAAGAUUGGAUCAUAACGUGGACAAACUAAAAUACAUUUAAAUAAUGCGUAUAAAUAAAUUAUAAUAACUGUAAAUAAAAAUAGAGUAUUAAAUUAU
Molecule: long non-coding RNA, 2687 nt
Organism: Metopolophium dirhodum (rose-grain aphid)
Lineage: Eukaryota; Metazoa; Arthropoda; Insecta; Hemiptera; Aphididae
Exons: 2
Source: RefSeq, a predicted model, not a curated record